GACGAACGCUGGCGGCGUGCUUAACACAUGCAAGUCGAACGGAAAGGCGCUGCUUUUGUGGGGUGCUCGAGUGGCGAACGGGUGUGUAACACGUGGGUAUCCUGCCCUUGACAUUGGGAUAACUUCAGGAAACUGGGUCUAAUACCGGAUAGUAACUCUUGCGCCUCGGUGAGGGAUGGAAAGUAUCGGCGGUUGGGGAUGGACUGGCGGCUUAUCAGCUUGUUGGUGGGGUAGUGGCUUACCAAGGCUGUGACGGGUAGCCGGCCUGAGAGGGUGAACGGCCAAAUUGGGACUGAGGUAAGGGCCAGUAUUCUAAGGGAGGGCAGAGGUGGGAAUAAUGCGCAAUGGGAGCGAGAGUGUGGUAGAGACGCUGUGUGUGGGAUAAGGGGUUUCGCGGUGUGAAAAGCGUUCGCAUGUGAGGAGGAGUGAGUGACGGUACCGGGUAAAGAAGUAACGGCUAACUACGUG
Molecule: ribosomal RNA, 468 nt
Filed under: uncultured bacterium
Lineage: Bacteria
Description: partial 16S ribosomal RNA
Rfam family: Bacterial small subunit ribosomal RNA
Source: RNAcentral